Molecule: long non-coding RNA, 2420 nt
Organism: Orcinus orca (killer whale)
Lineage: Eukaryota; Metazoa; Chordata; Mammalia; Artiodactyla; Delphinidae
Exons: 2
Source: RefSeq, a predicted model, not a curated record
GGGGACCAAGGGAAGGGGCUGGGGGGCACAGGGAACAUGGCCAGAUUCACUGGAUGAGUGUGACCUCUAUAGUUUCCUAAGCUACUAGUACUGGAAAAUAAGCACUGCCACUUCAUGGGCUCUGCCUGUGUGUGAUUGGCAGCGUAACACAAGGACUUGUUCUGGGUUGCAGGGCAGGAUGAGGAAACAGUGCUCUCUGGGGAGGUGGCUGGGAGGGUGAUGGCCAGGCUGGGUAGGGGGUGCAGUGUCCUGCAGGACUUGGGUGUGUACACACACACACACACACACACACACACACACACACACACUUACCUUUCCCUCCUCCCAGCACCUGGAUCUCUUUGGUUACUCUCUUAUUGUGUAAUUUGAGUUCUUGCCUUGGAAGAAGUCUUUCCCCUUUUGGAUCUCAAUUUCUCCAUGUGUAUAAACGGAUGAGUAGAUAUGAGCAAAAGUCAAACUUGUUUUUAUUAGUAUUAGUCAUUAGCAGUAUCUUAUUUAUGACUACAAAAUACAUUGUUGCACAUUUUUUUUUCAUCUUACCUGGAGGUGUCAGUGGAAGGUUUUCACAUAAUUGCCUUCAAUUACAGGAUGCAUCUUGAUUUCAGGGACUUCAACUUCGAGGAAAAGGUGUUUUAGAACAGAUGGAGUAGAGGUGUUAUUGUUGUGAUGUUAUCAUCUAACUUUCAGUGGGUCUUUACCACCUGGGAACAAUACCUAGGAGGCAGCAUAGCAUAUUACCUCCAUUGGCAAGUCACAGAAACCCCGUACCUCAGUUUUCCUCCUCUGUAAAGUGGAUGUGAUCAUAGUACACAGAUUUAAAUGAGUUAAUUAUACAACACUUAAAAACAUUGCCCCCGGCACAUAGAAUGCACUGGAUGAAUGUUAGCUUCUAUUAUUAUUUCCUGCCAGGCACUGUGUGAAGCCAGUUGCACACAGCUUUGGUUGAAUCCUUACGAGGUGCUUUUAUCUGCUUAUUUUACAAAGUGGGACACUGAGGUUCAGAAAGGUUACAUGUCACUGGUGGAGGCAGGACUCACACCAGAGGCCGCCCGAGCCCAAAGCUCACGCUAGGAUUAAUCACCAGAGUAAUUGGUCUAUGGAGACACGUCUAGACCUCUUUUUCCUCGUGUUUCUCCCUCUGUCCUCUCUCCUCCCACCUAGACCAUGUGUAUGCGCGUGUGCACGAGUGUGCAUAUCGACACACCACUCCACCUCAUUCCAUCCCACGGCAGGCCCCGGGGUCCUCUGAGGCAGGUGGCGGGCUUCAGGUUCUGGGGAAGGUUUUUGGGGACGGUUGCAGAGGAUGGAAGUUCCUGCCCAGUCUGCUCCUUAACCACACUGACUGAGCCCCAGGCUCCGAGUCAGGGCAGGCUCCUUGGGGGAGGUGAUGGGACUGGGGAUGUGGAUUCGGGAGGUAAAGUAGUGGAAGGCAGACAGCAGACUUCUCCUUACCAGGAGGACAGAGGCACAAAGGAAUUCACAGAAUGUUCAGAGAAUGGGCAACAGAGGCAAUGAGAGAGCAGAGGCAGGCAGGAGCUUUGAUUUUCAGGCCAAGGAGCUUAGGGUUUGUCUGGGAGGUGGUAGGGAGCUACAUAAGGACCUGGGAAGGUGGGUAUGUAAUGUGAUCUUUCCCACGGUUCCCGAGCCUGCUGCAGGGGAGGGUACAGGCCUGUCUCCUGCAUGACUGUGCCCUUGGGAUGCACAGCUCCAGCCUCUCGCCCCCUGCCUUCCUGAUAGAGAUACUUUUAUAUCCCGAGUCAUUCUGGCUUUCUGGUCCUGGCGUCUGAUUCCUCCUCCUUAAGCUAUCUGAGACACCCUCCCGCCCCCCCGUGAGCUCUGGAGCCUUGAAAUCCAGCAGCUGCUGAGGACUAGAGACCCCCAGGCCUUGCGAAAGUGUGGGAGGUUGUUAGGCAGGCAGUAUCUGGGGUAGGGAUGGGGGCUGCCAAUGGGGCAAGAGUGGGCAACACUCAGCCCUAGAGAUUGGCACCGUGCCCUAAAUUAUACUGACAGACAUUCUUUGGCAUAUUUCAAUCAGUAGUUCUCAAACAUUAGGCUGCACCAGAAUGGAGUGACUAACCAUCUGGGUUUGUGCUAAAACCAGGAAUGUCCCAGGAAAAGUGGGAUGAGUUGGCCACCCACCGUCCGAGUUGCAGAUUCAGCACAUCUCGGAUGGGGCAUGAGAAUGUGCAUUUCUACCAAGCUCCCAGAUGAUGCGGAUGCCUUCCAGGAGCUAUACUUUGAGAACUUCUGCUUGAAAUAUUUCUUGAAUCUGGGUCUCUAGGGUAGAGCCCAAAACCUGAGUUUUAAACAAGUUCUUCUUUGAUUCUGAUGCCCUUACGAGUUUGAGGCCCUGUACCUUGGGUUCACGAGUGGUUUCUUCCCUUUGAGUCCUCUACUAGCCUUAGUUAGCUGCAAGCACC